GGCGAGCGAAGCGGGAAGAGCUCAAAUUUGAAAGCUGGCACCUCCGGUGUCCGCGUUGUAAUUUCGAGACGUGUUUUCCGCGUGGCGCCAUGGACAAGUUCCCUGGAAUGGGACAUCGUAGAGGGUGAAAAUCCCGUACUUGCCAUGGACGUACCAUGCUUUGCGAUACACGCUCCAAGAGUCGAGUAGUUUGGGAUUGCUGCUCAAAAUGGGUGGUAGACUCCAUCUAAAGCUAAAUAUCGGGGAGAGACCGAUAGCGAACAAGUACCGUGAGGGAAAGAUGAAAAGCACUUUGGAAAGAGAGUUAAAAGUACGUGAAAUUGUCGAAAUGGAAGCGCUUGAAGUCAGCCAUGCGGCUGGGGACUCACCUUGGCGUCUCGCUGAGGGUAUUUCUCCAGUAGCAAGUCAGCAUUGGUUUGCGGCGCCGGAGAAGGGUACAGGGAAGGUGGCACCUUCGGGUGUGUUAUAGCCCUGGACUGGAUACGGAAGAG
Molecule: ribosomal RNA, 491 nt
Filed under: Malassezia slooffiae
Lineage: Eukaryota; Fungi; Basidiomycota; Malasseziomycetes; Malasseziales; Malasseziaceae
Description: eukaryotic LSU rRNA
Rfam family: Eukaryotic large subunit ribosomal RNA
Source: RNAcentral